ACACACACACACACACACACACACAGUGUGUGUGUGUGUGUGUGUGUGU
This 49-nucleotide microRNA precursor is filed under the name Podarcis lilfordi (Lilford's wall lizard). Lineage: Eukaryota; Metazoa; Chordata; Lepidosauria; Squamata; Lacertidae. The record is from RNAcentral.